CCUGCUGUACUGAACUCCGUACAUAUCCGAUGACCAUGGAACUGAGUUAUUUCAGACUGGUUAACUGCUUCUUGAUCCUGUGUCCAGGUUGCAGAAAUCAUUCUUGAAGAUUUUUCCAGAGUUAAUAUCGCCAGCUUCAUUUCUUCCUCUAUUUCCGUCCUUGGUGGAUCUUCCUGGUAAGUAGCUGCAGCUGUUUGUGUAAUAUAACAAUUUUUUCUAGUAACAAGUGAUUUAAUUUCUGCUAAGUGCUUUUUGGCAGUACGGUCAGAACCUCUCUGAAC
This 281-nucleotide long non-coding RNA is filed under the name Linum usitatissimum (flax). RNAcentral describes it as "long non-coding RNA (LUSI_LNC000831)". Lineage: Eukaryota; Viridiplantae; Streptophyta; Magnoliopsida; Malpighiales; Linaceae. The record is from RNAcentral.